GCAUUGGUGGCUCAGUGGCAGAAUUCUUGCCUACUAUGCAGGAGAUCAGGGUUCAAUUCCUGGUCAAUGCA
Loxodonta africana (African savanna elephant) is the source of this 71-nucleotide transfer RNA. It matches the Rfam family "tRNA". From Rfam's summary of the family: Transfer RNA (tRNA) molecules are approximately 80 nucleotides in length. Their secondary structure includes four short double-helical elements and three loops (D, anti-codon, and T loops). NCBI's taxonomy places the organism in Eukaryota, Metazoa, Chordata, Mammalia, Proboscidea, Elephantidae. The record is from Rfam.